This 253-nucleotide ribosomal RNA is filed under the name uncultured bacterium. Its description in RNAcentral is "partial 16S ribosomal RNA". It matches the Rfam family "Bacterial small subunit ribosomal RNA", at positions 524 to 776 of the family's 1533-position model. The record is from RNAcentral.
UACAUGGGGUGCAAACGUUGCUCGGAAUUAUUGGGCGUAAAGCGCACGUAGGCGGUUCGUUAAGUCGGAUGUGAAAGCCCUCGGCUCAACUGAGGAAGUGCACCCGAAACUGGCGAGCUUGAGUACGAAAGAGGGUCGCGGAAUUCCCGGUGUAGAGGUGAAAUUCGUAGAUAUCGGGAGGAACACCGGUGGCGAAGGCGGCGACCUGGGUCGAUACUGACGCUGAGACGCGAAAGCGUGGGGAGCAAACAGG